Long non-coding RNA from Bombus pascuorum, 1140 nucleotides. RefSeq lists it as uncharacterized. The transcript has 3 exons. The record is from RefSeq and is a predicted model, not a curated record. Lineage: Eukaryota; Metazoa; Arthropoda; Insecta; Hymenoptera; Apidae.
AUUGCGCGUUAGAUCACCGCUCGUUUAUUGCUCGGCGAGAUAUAAAAGAAGUUCGUCGGUCAUAUUAUCGACGAAGUGCUGUUAGGCAAUGAAACUGAUUCCAAUAACCGCUUUCGUUCCAUGGAAAAAGAGGGCGUUGCGCAAUAACCGUAAGAAGAAAAAGGGAGAAGGAAAAAUAUGGGGAGAACGAAAGAACGGUAACGGAAAGAUAAAAAUAUCCGUGAUCCAAUAGUCGAUAAGCUAUCGGCACGAACUAGAUCGCAUCUGGGGGCUGCUCGUUUCAAGAUUGAAAAAGAGAGACAAAGGUGUGGCCCUUAUCGUGUCGCACUUACCCUUUAAUGGAAAGGAAAGGAAACCGAUAUACUCGAUUUCGUUUAUCUAGGAAACACAAAAAGCGACAUCCAUUUGUUUGCACUGAAGGAUUAUCGAAUUUACCAUCUUGAGUUGACUUGUAUUUAUCCGUUGCGAAAGCGAUAAAAUAAUUCUACAAUUCUUGUUGCAUUUAAUUCUUACUAUUUAAUCAUUAAUUACUCAUAAAAGUAUUAAACAUUUAUGAAAAUUUUGUAUGACAUAUGACAAGAUACAAGUAUCAUGAUCACAUUGAUAAAGUUUGAAACAAAUAUGUGAAAUUAUUUAAGCAAUCAAUUGUCCAUUACUGAGUCCACCUUUAGCGUUAAUUAUAUGAUAACUUACUACCGGAAAAUCAAUUCUUAUGCCAUUAAAUAUAGAAUUUUUAUAGAACAAAAAGAAAUGUCUGAGGAUAUUAGAAAAAAAAAAAAUUUGAAAGGUUGAAAUUCAACGAGUGAAUGAAGGUUAAUAAAAGGAAAUGCUCGCGCUAUCAGUUUUUUUAGCGGUCACGAGACUGCGAUUAUUACCACGGCCACGGCACAUUCGUUAACCGACGGGCCGUUCACCUUACCGUGCAUCGUCAGUUUGAAUAUGUCAGACGAUAUGUGGCGCUGGUGGAUGAACUCUGUAUCAUUUUGUCAGACGUGUCUGUGCAGGUUCAAGUCAACGGCUGCCCGAAGAUCGCGUCACGACAUACUUUGAUCGACAACACCGUCCAUCAUACUCGUGUUUAUUCUACCCAAAUAUCUAUCAUAAGAUGAUAAUAAUUCAUACUAAUAUUAAAAUAAAUUC